GAUGAACGCUGGCGGCGUGCCUAAUACAUGCGAGUCGAGCGAACGGACGAGAAGCUUGCUUCUCUGAUGUUAGCGGCGGACGGGUGAGUAACACGUGGAUAACCUACCUAUAAGACUGGGAUAACUUCGGGAAACCGGAGCUAAUACCGGAUAAUAUUUUGAACCGCAUGGUUCAAAAGUGAAAGACGGUCUUGCUGUCACUUAUAGAUGGAUCCGCGCUGCAUUAGCUAGUUGGUAAGGUAACGGCUUACCAAGGCAACGAUGCAUAGCCGACCUGAGAGGGUGAUCGGCCAAACUGGAACUGAGACACGGUCCAGACUCCUACGGGAGGCAGCAGUAGGGAAUCUUCCGAAAUGGGCGAAAGCCUGACGGAGCAACGCCGCGUGAGUGAUGAAGGUCUUCGGAUCGUAAAACUCUGUUAUUAGGGAAGAACAUAUGUGUAAGUAACUGUGCACAUCUUGACGGUACCUAAUCAGAAAGCCACGGCUAACUACGUG
This 497-nucleotide ribosomal RNA is filed under the name uncultured bacterium. RNAcentral describes it as "partial 16S ribosomal RNA". It matches the Rfam family "Bacterial small subunit ribosomal RNA", at positions 28 to 507 of the family's 1533-position model. The record is from RNAcentral.